CGGAUGUAGUUCAUUGGUAGAAUGCCGGCUUCCCAAGCCUGAGAGGGGGGUUCGAUUCCCCUCAUCCG
RNAcentral lists this transfer RNA (68 nucleotides) under bovine gut metagenome. It matches the Rfam family "tRNA". Rfam says of the family: Transfer RNA (tRNA) molecules are approximately 80 nucleotides in length. The record is from RNAcentral.